UGGCGAACGGGUGAGUAACACGUAGACAACCCGCCCCCUCGGCCCGGGACAACCUCUGGAAACGGAGGCUGAUACCGGACGGGCAGGAGAGGGGCAUCCCUCUCCUGUGAAAGGCCCUGCAAGGGGCCGCGAGGGGAUGGGUCUGCGGUGCAUUAGCUAGUUGGCGGGGCAGCGGCCCACCAAGGCGACGAUGCAUAGCCGGCCUGAGAGGGCGGACGGCCACAUUGGGACUGAGACACGGCCCAAACUCCUACGGGAGGCAGCAUG
This 267-nucleotide ribosomal RNA is filed under the name uncultured bacterium. RNAcentral's name for it is "partial 16S ribosomal RNA". It matches the Rfam family "Bacterial small subunit ribosomal RNA", at positions 96 to 353 of the family's 1533-position model. The record is from RNAcentral.